Non-coding RNA from Xyrichtys novacula (pearly razorfish), 1376 nucleotides. Lineage: Eukaryota; Metazoa; Chordata; Actinopteri; Labriformes; Labridae. The record is from the annotation of a GenBank genome assembly.
CACUAUCAGAGUGUGUGUUUCCGUGAGUUUGUGUUGUUUGCCUCAGUGUCAGCUGGCACUCACUCGCUCAAAUACACACACACACACACACACCUGCAGCUUUGCGAUGGUGGAAGGGAAACCGUAUCGAUACGGACUGAUCUCUGCUGGCGUGUGUGCGAUUGCUCUCGGCCUCUUCAUCAUGGUGAGGGAGCGACCACACAUCUUCAUCACUGUUUGUGUCCUCGGAGUCUUCAUGGUGUGUGUGGGGAGUGUGUGGAGCAUCUGCCAGUGUUACCCAAAGGUAAAGUGUGUAUGUGUGUGUGAGAAAGUGUGUUGGUGAUAGAGACAGAAAGGUAUCAGAGGUGUAAUGGAGUCAGUUUAUUUGUAGGUCGUUUUGGCUCCUGAGACUGAGGAGGACAGUCUGAAGGACGGGUUGUGUACAGCUGGAGACGACAGGUACCACACAUACACACACACACACACACAGUCUUCAUAUCGGUCUGUGUUAGUGCCCGUUCCAAAGGUGGAGACAGCAGUCCCCUGUGGUGUUUGUGAAAGGAGGACAGAGCUGCUUUAAUAUGAUGAGAAACUACAACUAACUUUGAGAACCGACUGAAGUUAUUACUGAAGAAGAGGAGAAAGGAAGGAUGGAGCCGGAGAGACUGAUUAAGGUUCUGUUUACAAGAGGAGGAACAGUAACUGACACCCUACUGACUGAAGAUAUCGCUGUAACUCACAGGACAGACUCAGAGGACAGAGACAGACUUAGAGGACGGUCUGUAGUCUUCAGUUUGUCAAAUAGAAACGGCAAAAUAGUUGGAAACUUGAAGGUGAGGCAGAGGUCCAUCUUCCUCCUCUAAUAGGCAUCGCUGAUUUCUCCUGAUUAAAGCCCUGUAGUUGGUCAGAGGAGGGUGUCUCAGAGGUCAAACUCUCAGAGUGAUCUGAGGACACUAUAGUCUACAGCCAGACAAAAAGUCAGAACAUAAGGACAUAACACAAACUUGAAGCCAGACUUUCACACCUGUCUCCUUCCUCCUCCUCUCAUCUUCUUCUCCUUUUCCUUACACACUUUGUCUGUGUCCAGGUGUCCUGAGGUCCCACCCCCUCUCUCUGGGAAGAUGCUGAGCGCCAUACCGCAACUUUCUAGAUCUCCAAAGAGUCACAGCUGUCCCACACUACAGCUGGUCUGACCCUCACCAAAUCAGGACCCUCUUCGACUCCCUUUCCUGUCACUUUCCCCUCUAUUCUUUCCAUCCUCUGCCCUCUCUCUUAUAUCAUUUGUCCUCUCUCUGCCCUCUUUCUCCUCUCUCAGCCCUUUCUGUCCUCUUUUUGUCCUGUCCCACAGGAUGAUGUUUGAAGUAUCUGGUAAAAUUAAACAUUGUUCUCAGAUCUCA